This 72-nucleotide transfer RNA is filed under the name Candidatus Woesearchaeota archaeon. RNAcentral's name for it is "tRNA-Gly". It matches the Rfam family "tRNA". Rfam says of the family: Transfer RNA (tRNA) molecules are approximately 80 nucleotides in length. The record is from RNAcentral. Lineage: Archaea; Nanobdellati; Candidatus Woesearchaeota.
GCGACGGUGAUCCAGCGGCUAAGAUAGUGCCUUGCCAAGGCAUUUACCCGGGUUCGAAUCCCGGCCGUCGCA